RNAcentral lists this ribosomal RNA (253 nucleotides) under uncultured bacterium. Its description in RNAcentral is "partial 16S ribosomal RNA". It matches the Rfam family "Bacterial small subunit ribosomal RNA", at positions 524 to 776 of the family's 1533-position model. The record is from RNAcentral.
CACGUAGGGGGCAAGCGUUGUCCGGAUUUAUUGGGCGUAAAGAGCUCGUAGGCGGUUUGUCGCGUCUGCUGUGAAAACCCGAGGCUCAACCUCGGGCCUGCAGUGGGUACGGGCAGACUAGAGUGCGGUAGGGGAGAUUGGAAUUCCUGGUGUAGCGGUGGAAUGCGCAGAUAUCAGGAGGAACACCAAUGGCGAAGGCAGAUCUCUGGGCCGUAACUGACGCUGAGGAGCGAAAGCAUGGGGAGCGAACAGG